GCCCCCCUAGCUCAGUCGGCAGAGCACAUCCAUGGUAAGGAUGGGGUCGCCGGUUCGAUUCCGGCGGGGGGCUCCA
Molecule: transfer RNA, 76 nt
Filed under: Actinomycetes bacterium
Lineage: Bacteria; Bacillati; Actinomycetota; Actinomycetes
Also listed under: 3 other names
Description: tRNA-Thr
Rfam family: tRNA
About the family: Transfer RNA (tRNA) molecules are approximately 80 nucleotides in length. Their secondary structure includes four short double-helical elements and three loops (D, anti-codon, and T loops).
Source: RNAcentral